GCCAGCCCUAAUUUCUUAAUCCAAACCUAAUCACACACAAAUACACAAUCACGCUGCCUACAAUAGAUUUGGUCAUCUGCUGUGCUGCUUGCCGACAACAAAUUGCUGCUCUUCGUCUUCGUCUUCGUCUUCGUCCUCAUCCCCGAUCUCUAGCUUGCUGGCUAUUCCCAUUUCCUUUUGUUUCGCAACUUAAUGGUUGUUGCCGGUAGCCUGCUACCUUCUUCAACUCCGAGCUAUAGCUAAUGCCUUCUUAAUUUAGAUUUUCUUCAAGUUCGAGUUGCUGCUACUGUAUUCUUUUGUGAGAGGUAAGCUGAUGGGUUCUUUCAUUUGUACACUAGGGUUUGGGGUUCUCUGAUCAGAAUAUAUCGGCUGGUCUGGUGAUUGCUCAACCGCCGUCGAUUUUUGAGGUGCCGCCCAGGUUGAGCCCCGCAAUUCUACUUGACUCGCUAAAUUUCAGUUUGUUUUCGCCUACACAGGUAAUUCAAUUUAACUUUGUCUGACCUAAAGUUUCUUCAUUUAUUCAUUAGAUUUUAGCUUGUUUAGGAAAGCUUUCAUUUUUAUUGGGUUUCGCAUUUAAAUUCUAAUAAUCCUUGGGUUUGAAUUUUGAUUUUUUUUUUUUUGGAGGGAUGGAAAAUUUUCUUCAUUGCCUUGAUUUGUUAGCAGUCGGUUGGAAUUUUGAAUUAGAGCUUGCUGAAGCAUUUAUUAUAGAAUUUAUAAAUGUGCCCUGUAAUUGGGAUAAAAACUCUUGACUUAAUUAAUCUGACAGAAGAACAUUUUGAGCAAUGUUGUAAUGUGAUUGUGCAUUGCUGAGAUAAUCUCAUCUUGUUUUGGUAUUCUAACCAAUAAAAAAAAAUUUAAGUGUUGGACUCCCCUUCGGCUUCACAUGGCAAGCCCUAAUUUCUUAAUCCAAACCUAAUCACACACAAAUACACAAUCACGCUGCCUACAAUAGAUUUGGUCAUCUGCUGUGCUGCUUGCCGACAACAAAUUGCUGCUCUUCGUCUUCGUCUUCGUCUUCGUCCUCAUCCCCGAUCUCUAGCUUGCUGGCUAUUCCCAUUUCCUUUUGUUUCGCAACUUAAUGGUUGUUGCCGGUAGCCUGCUACCUUCUUCAACUCCGAGCUAUAGCUAAUGCCUUCUUAAUUUAGAUUUUCUUCAAGUUCGAGUUGCUGCUACUGUAUUCUUUUGUGAGAGGUAAGCUGAUGGGUUCUUUCAUUUGUACACUAGGGUUUGGGGUUCUCUGAUCAGAAUAUAUCGGCUGGUCUGGUGAUUGCUCAACCGCCGUCGAUUUUUGAGGUGCCGCCCAGGUUGAGCCCCGCAAUUCUGCUUGACUCGCUAAAUUUCAGUUUGUUUUCGCCUACACAGGUAAUUCAAUUUAACUUUGUCUGACCUAAAGUUUCUUCAUUUAUUCAUUAGAUUUUAGCUUGUUUAGGAAAGCUUUCAUUUUUAUUGGGUUUCGCAUUUAAAUGCUAAUAAUCCUUGGGUUUGAAUUUUGAUUUUUUUUUUUUUGGAGGGAUGGAAAAUUUUCUUCAUUGCCUUGAUUUGUUAGCAGUCGGUUGGAAUUUUGAAUUAGAGCUUGCUGAAGCAUUUAUUAUAGAAUUUAUAAAUGUGCCCUGUAAUUGGGAUAAAAACUCUUGACUUAAUUAAUCUGACAGAAGAACAUUUUGAGCAAUGUUGUAAUGUGAUUGUGCAUUGCUGAGAUAAUCUCAUCUUGUUUUGGUAUUCUAAGUAUCCAAAUGGACUGGAUAGUAGGCUAUCCAGGUCAAGUUUUAAUGGUAAUUGGGCAUUUUUCUUUCCUGAUUUUAGUUUCAUCUCUUUUUAGAUGAAGCAUAUGGUUAAUGCAAACAAUUAACGAAAGAAAAGCUCUUGGUAUUACUAGUGUUGGAGAUCCAAUUGUCUUCAUGUAAACUGUGAACACUUUUAACUCCCAUAUCUAAGAUAUAGAGAUCUUUAUGUAGCUUUAAGCCAAAUAUGUGAGAAAUUCUCCAAUCUAGUCACAACUUUAUUAGCAACCAAGAAUGAAAGAGUAUUAGCUUCCAGUUAUAAUUUGAUGACCGGAGCUUGAAUGAGUGAGUGAUAACUUGUAUUGUCUAUAUUGCUUUGUAUGUCAUGCCUCACUGGCAUUAUGUUACUUGGGUAUCCAAAUUUUGCGUUUAUCUAUUACUAAUUUCCCUGAUUCAUUGGAUGCAACCUAGGGAGCCUUUAGAAUGAAGCACUAGCAGGCCCUAGCACAGGUCACUGCCCAAGCUGACAAUUGUAGAGAGGGAAAACAGAGACAAAAGGUUGUAAAACACGUUAAAGAGACAAAAGGAUAUAUAUGUAACAAAAAUAUCUAUUAAAAUUAGGUUCAGGGAGUAUUUGGAUGGAUUUUCUUUCUUUUGAUGUAACUGUGACCAAAAAGGGGUUUUAUUUGCAUUGUAAGUGGAGGUGUUAAUAGCAGCACUAUUUUUAUAUUUGACAACAGAAUACACAUUAACACUAUAUAUAGUGGAACCUCGAUAAAUUAAUAACAUUGAUUAAAUAAUAGUUUUCGCCAACUCAGACGUGGGCCCAACUUAGUAAAUUAAUAAUUCAAUAAAUUUAUUAAACAAUAAUUGUUGUAGAAAAGUAAGAAAUCUUAUUUUUCUAUAGGACUCAACUAAACAUAAAUUAAUAAUUAACCAAUUUAGAAUUAAACACAUAUGAUAUGUUUAAGAUUUUCUUUGUUGUACUAGCAUAAUGAUUUAUGCAUUCCAUUGGUUAUUGUUAUUUCUCUACAACUUUUAGAAGAGAAGCCAGUGUUGUAUUCUAUGUGAUAGGUUAAGAGAAACAAGAGAAAAAUUGACUUAAUAUAUUGUCUCAAAAAAGUCUUCUUUGAUGUGUUAUCAUCUAAUUGUGAUGCAACCAUGCAAUCUAGCAAAAGAAUUAUCAAGUCAUUGAUUUACUCAAUUAAAAUCAAACUAGAAUCAUAUUAUACAGCUUGAUAGAAUCUCUAUAUUCUUUAAUUACACUACAACAAAAACAGUGUAUGAUAGCAUCUGAAAAAUGCUACCAAAUUAAAGUGAAUGGUAGCAUUUUGAACAAUGCUAAGUUAGCCGGUGUAACUAAAAGUAUUACACAUUAGUAGCAUUUUUUACAUGCCACAAAUUAUGAUACAUAGCAUUCUGCUGUACCGUACAUCCGCCUUGGCCGUACAGCAGCAUUAAUUGCACUUGGUUUUAUAUUUCUCUUUACUAUGUACUAUGUUGCAAAAUAUUUUGUUUAUACUUAAUCUUUUAUAAUCCAGCAACUCUUAUGAAGACCUAGUCAACUGUCACUGCUACAUAAGCAUUCAGGUUAUACUGCUUUAUCAUCAUUUUUAUUUUCUUCCCUUUUUCUCUUUUACAGCUUGUGAGCUUACUGCUUCAUUAUGUCAAUUGUCGAAUGUGAUUUUCUAUUUUCUCUUGGGUUGUUUAUUCUCAUUUUCCCUUUAGUAUCAAAGCUGAUUAAAUCAAUUAGACACUGAUGAAUUUUAUUAUGAAUUUGAUUAAUUGUAAGUGGGCAAUAUAUUAAUAUGUAUUUUUUGGGCACUCAUUUUAUUGUAACCUAUGUUUCAGGUGAUGUUGGUGGCUUUCGGGAAUUUACUAAGAGUGUUUUUUUUAUGGAUUAAUUGUUUUUCUAGUGAUGUGUUGGUGAUUGGAUAUUGAUAAAGGAUUUAUGAGAUAUUGUAAAGGAUUUGAUUCACCAUAUAUUUUGUGAUGCUAUUUGUUGGAAGUUUCAAGUGAUUGAAAUUUUUAGCGCAUCACACUAUUUGGUAUUUGAUAGUUUUUAUGAAUUUGAAUGUAAUUUUUAUUUCAAUUAAUUCAAGUUUUAAAUGUGGUUUUUGUUGUUUUUA
This 3850-nucleotide long non-coding RNA is filed under the name Citrus sinensis (sweet orange). RNAcentral describes it as "long non-coding RNA (CSIN_LNC002173)". The record is from RNAcentral. Lineage: Eukaryota; Viridiplantae; Streptophyta; Magnoliopsida; Sapindales; Rutaceae.